RNAcentral lists this ribosomal RNA (393 nucleotides) under uncultured bacterium. RNAcentral's name for it is "partial 16S ribosomal RNA". It matches the Rfam family "Bacterial small subunit ribosomal RNA", at positions 523 to 918 of the family's 1533-position model. The record is from RNAcentral.
AUACGGAGGAUCCGAGCGUUAUCCGGAUUUAUUGGGUUUAAAGGGUGCGCAGGCGGGAGAUUAAGUCGGCGGUGAAAUUUUGCAGCUCAACUGUAAAAGUGCCUUCGAAACUGGUUUCCUUGAGUGUAGAUGAAGUAGGCGGAAUUUGUGGUGUAGCGGGGAAAUGCAUAGAUAUCACGAGGAACUCCGAUUGCGCAGGCAGCUUACUAAACUACUACUGACGCUCAGGCACGAAGGCGUGGGGAUCAAACAGGAUUAGAUACCCUGGUAGUCCACGCAGUAAACGAUGAUUACUAGCUGUUUGCGAUACAAUGUAAGCGGCUGAGCGAAAGCGUUAAGUAAUCCACCUGGGGAGUACGUUCGCAAGAAUGAAACUCAAAGGAAUUGACGGGG